This 930-nucleotide ribosomal RNA is filed under the name uncultured bacterium. RNAcentral describes it as "bacterial SSU rRNA". It matches the Rfam family "Bacterial small subunit ribosomal RNA", at positions 8 to 916 of the family's 1533-position model. The record is from RNAcentral.
AGAGUUUGAUCAUGGCUCAGGACGAACGCUGGCGGCAUUCUUAAUACAUGCAAGUCGAUCGAAGUUAUGCGAGAAGCUUGCUUUUCAAUUAGCUUAGUGGCGGACGGGUGAGUAACACGUAGGCAACCUGCCUGUAAGUCGGGGAUAACUCACGGAAACGUGAGCUAAGACCGGAUAGUCGAGAGGAAGGCAUCUGUUCUUGCGAAAGACGGAGCAAUCUGUCGCUUAUGGAUGGACGUGCGGCGCAUUAGCUAGUUGGUGAGGUACCGUCUCAUCAAGGCGACGAUGCGUAGACUACCUCAGAGGCUGAACGACCACACUGGGAGUGAGACACGGCCCAGACUCUUACGGGAGGCAGCAGUAGGGAAUCUUCGGCAAUGGACGCAAGUCUGACCGAGCAAUCCCUCGUGAGUGAGGAAGGCCCUCGCGUGGAAAAACUCUGUUACCAGGGAAGAACGCUUAGGAGAGUAACUGCUCUUAAGGUGACGGUACCUGAGAAGAAAGCCCCGCCUAACUACGUGCCAUCAUCCGCGGUAAUACGUAGGGGGCAAGCGUUGUCCGGAAUUAUUCGAUGUAAAGCGCGCGCAGGCGGCUAAUUAAGUCUUAUGUAUAAUCACAAGCAUCAACCUUGGAUCGCAUGGGAAACUGGUUGGCUUGAGUGUAGGAGAGGAAAGGGGAAUUCCACGUGUAGCGGUUAAAUGGGUAGAUAUUUGGAGGAACACCAGUGGCGAAGGCCACUUUCUGGCCUAUAACCAGCGCCGAGGCGCGAAAGCGCGGGGAUCUACCAGGAUUAGAUACCCAUGUAGUACGCGCCGUAAACGAUGAAUGCUAGGUGUUAGGGGUUUCUAUACCCUUGGUCCCGAAGUUAACACAUUAAGCACUCCGCCUGGGGAGUACGGUCGCAAGACUGAAACUCAAAUGAAUAGACGG